This is a long non-coding RNA of Ictalurus punctatus (channel catfish), 2350 nucleotides long. Lineage: Eukaryota; Metazoa; Chordata; Actinopteri; Siluriformes; Ictaluridae. The record is from Ensembl.
GCAAGAUUUACUUGGCAAGGUUUUUCUGUCUUUUCUUGCUGUAAACUUCCUGUUUCUCCAUAACCACAUGGGUUAAGAAACACUCAGGAAGCGUUAGUGUGAAAGCGCAAAAAAAAACAAAAAAAAACCCUGUUCACUACAUGAAAAUACUGUGAUGAUGAUGUUUAUGUGAUGAUGUCUGAGACCACACAUUUCGCCUCCAUUGUAUCUUGCGCAACAGUGCUACAGAUGUAUGAGAUGCAGCUCAACAAGGAAAUGAAAGCCUAGGUUUACAGAGGUGUGAAAGCCCCCAUAAUAUGUGCCAAUCGUUCCCUCAAAACACAGGUUUUAAGAGGCAGAUAAACGUUUGCAACAGAAAGCUCUGUUUUUGGAGGGAAAAUAGGAAGAGAUGCUACCUAAUGAGUUCCUUUUGGCUGUAAUCCAUCUUUCAGCAUUUGUCAGUGGUCACACAUGUGUGGAACAGCAGCCAAACGCUGUACAUCUCACUGAGGGAGAAAAUGUUACCCUGUCAUGUCACAUCUAUGUAGAGGAAGGAGAGAAAAUUACUAAAUUCCAUGUAGAGUGGUACAGGGAGGGUGCUGAUAGACACCCAUACGAGGUUGGAAACCUUUCCCAGCUCAGAGGAAGGUUUCGUGAGAACACCAAUAUCAAACAGCAAAAUGCAAGCCUUUCACUCUUCAUGCUCAAGCUAAAUGACACCGGCAAGUACUUCUGCAAUUUCAUCUACCGGAUUGGUCAUAAAAUAUUGCAGAAUUAUGCGAACGGCACAAGCCUCAUUGUCCAAGAGGCGGUGACCACAGACACAACCAUCCCCAGUACCACAAAUAAGACUGGUAAUAAUACUGAUGCUGAUACUGAGCACACCACCACAGAGAAUGUCCUUCUCACAUUCCUUCUUUAUCUUCCAUUAUCAAUAAAGUUUGUGGCAACUGUUUUUAUAUGCUUUUAUACAUUGUUUUCCUAUACAUCAAUUGCUUUUUAUUGUCCUGGUUUACUAUCAAAUUUAAGUUGACAUCUUUAUAAAUGUCUCUUUAUGUCUCUUGUUUUUCACCUAAUAAGUGAAUCUUAUGACUCAUAAACACCCACAGAUGAGUAUGUCAAAUGUUUCUUCUGCGCAUAAAUAUUAUAAUUAUGACAGUCCUUGGUGUUUGUUCUGAAUUGUGUUCUCAAUUAUGAAAAAUGCGUGAAAUGUGUGUCAGUGCAUGAAAGUGGCUAUAGGGAGGAGUAUUAUUUCUUCUUUAUCCUCACAUGAGGAAAAAUUUAUGUAUUAGUAGUAGAUUAACAUAAAUAUUGGUUUGGCUCAAGUGCUGUUAUUUUUCCCCCAGGACAUCAUGGACAGUGUGAAGAUGUGUUUUAAUUUUAAGCUAUUAUAAGAACAUGACAUAUCGAAGACCCUUUACUUCAUAAAUCUUUCAGUCUGUUAUACACUUUUAAAUGCUGUGGUGUUUCUGACAGUGAGUAUGUUUAUGCACAUCAGUAUUCCGAUAUUAAUCGUAAUUUGGUGAUAUUCUUAUUAGUAUUGAGUAAUGUAAACUCCACAAACCAACUCACCAAUUCAGAUUAAGAUAAUAUUCUGAUUUCCCAAAUUGUGAUUCCCAACCCUGAAUUAUGCUUGAAAUUUGUUGCAUGUAAAAACCUCAUUCAGAAAAUCUAAGGAAUUGUGGGUGCUAACAUAUGCAUAGCUUCAGGCUGGGUAUUUAGGAAUGGCAACUCUGGCAUACUUACAACAACCAUGUAUAUAGGAAUAUUCUAACACCUGUACACAUAUAUCAUAUAUAUUGUAUUCAGAAUCUGGCUGCAACCCAAAUUACCCUUAAAUGGAAUUUGAUGUGCAUGUAAACGUAGUCAUUGUCUUUACUGAGAUAUAUUGAUAUAGCGUCUCAGUCUGAGAUUAUUGAUAUUGACAGUAAACCUUGAUUGAUUUCUAACAUCUGUACAAAAUCUGUGUCAAAUAUGUGUCAUAGUUGAAUCAAAUGACUUCUACAUUAAUUAAAAUUAAUUUUUGACUUAAUCUGAUCUGAAAUGCCGAUGAUUCGAUUUAUGUUCACUUUUCUGUUUUAGUUAUUUUAGUCAGGACUGUAAGUGUAAAAUCACCGGGUAAAAUACUGAAUUGGUUUAAUUUAUGAAAGAUUCUUAAAUGGUUUAAUUAAUGAAAUAAUCUAAUAUUAGUUAUUAAAAUAUUCAAGAGCCAAAUUACACAAGAUACAUAUUCCAGAGGCAAGAGUGUGGUAAAAAUGUGGAGCGUGAGGAUGAUUCCAUGGACUCUGAACACAGGGGGCCCAUAGUGACUGUACAUGAUGAAAAUUAUCCAGGAGAUCCAAAGCUGUCCAGUGAUAGGGGGUUCAAUGCA